GACGAACGCUGGCGGCGUGCUUAACACAUGCAAGUCGAACGAAGAGCGAUGGAAGCUUGCUUCUAUCAAUCUUAGUGGCGAACGGGUGAGUAACGCGUAAUCAACCUGCCCUUCAGAGGGGGACAACAGUUGGAAACGACUGCUAAUACCGCAUACGAUCUAAUCUCGGCAUCGAGGAUAGAUGAAAGGUGGCCUCUACAUGUAAGCUAUCACUGAAGGAGGGGAUUGCGUCUGAUUAGCUAGUUGGAGGGGUAACGGCCCACCAAGGCGAUGAUCAGUAGCCGGUCUGAGAGGAUGAACGGCCACAUUGGGACUGAGACACGGCCCAGACUCCUACGGGAGGCAGCAGUGGGGAAUCUUCCGCAAUGGACGAAAAGUCUGACGGAGCAAACGCCCGCGUGAGUGAUGACGGCCCUUCCGGGGUUGUAAAAGCUUCUGUU
Molecule: ribosomal RNA, 440 nt
Filed under: Veillonella parvula
Lineage: Bacteria; Bacillati; Bacillota; Negativicutes; Veillonellales; Veillonellaceae
Description: bacterial SSU rRNA
Rfam family: Bacterial small subunit ribosomal RNA
Source: RNAcentral